ACUCAAAGGAAUUGACGGGGACCCGCACAAGCGGUGGAGCAUGUUGCUUAAUUCGACGCAACGCGAAGAACCUUACCUGGGCUUGAAGUGUGUUUGAAGGUUAUAGAGAUAUAUCCCGCUCUUCGGAGCAGACACAUUAGGUGCUGCAUGGCUGUCGUCAGCUCGUGCCGUGAGGUGUUGGGUUAAGUCCUCUAACGAGCGCAACCCUCGUUCAUAGUUGCCAUCAGGUGAUGCUGGGCACUCUAUGAAGACUGCCGGUGACAAACCGGAGGAAGGUGGGGAUGACGUCAAGUCAUCAUGGCCUUUACGUCCAGGGCUGCAAACGUGCUACAAUGGCUGGUACAAAGGGAAGCAAUGCCGCGAGGUGGAGCAGAUCCCAAAAAACCAGUCUCAGUUCGGAUUGCAGUCUGCAACUCGACUGCAUGAAGUCGGAAUCGCUAGUAAUCGCGGAUCAGAAUGCCGCGGUGAAUACGUUCCCGGGUCUUGUACACACCGCCCGU
This 500-nucleotide ribosomal RNA is filed under the name uncultured bacterium. Its description in RNAcentral is "bacterial SSU rRNA". It matches the Rfam family "Bacterial small subunit ribosomal RNA", at positions 899 to 1397 of the family's 1533-position model. The record is from RNAcentral.